GAUGAAGAACGCAGUGAAAUGCGAUACGUAGUGUGAAUUGCAGAAUUCCGUGAACCAUCAAAUCUUUGAACGCAUAUUGCGCUCGAGGCUUCGGCCGAGAGCAUGUCUGCCUCAGCGUCGGUAUUACCCCUCGCUUCUCAACCCCUGGUUGAUGCCUGCCUGCCUUUGCAGUUGGCUAGAAGCGGAUCUGGCUUUCCCAAUUGCCUUUGGUAGUUGGGUCAGCUGAAGCACAGAGGCUUGAGCAAGGACCCUUAUUGGGCUUCAACUGGAUAGGUAGAACUGGUCUUAGGACCAACUACACGAAGUUGUUGCUUGUGGUCUUUUGUCUGGAGGCCAGGAGGAAACCUUUAUACCUUCGACCUGAGCUCAGGCAAGAUUACCCGCUGAACUUAAGCAUAUCAAUAAGCGGAGGA
This 413-nucleotide unclassified non-coding RNA is filed under the name soil metagenome. Its description in RNAcentral is "partial contains 5.8S ribosomal RNA, internal transcribed spacer 2, and large subunit ribosomal RNA". The stretch from base 1 to 120 matches the Rfam family "5.8S ribosomal RNA", at positions 35 to 154 of the family's 154-position model. The record is from RNAcentral.